RNAcentral lists this long non-coding RNA (462 nucleotides) under Capsicum annuum. RNAcentral's name for it is "long non-coding RNA (CANN_LNC017674)". Lineage: Eukaryota; Viridiplantae; Streptophyta; Magnoliopsida; Solanales; Solanaceae. The record is from RNAcentral.
UGGCCUCAAUCAACAAAUGGUAAAUGGAUUGUUUGGACAUGGUUUUAAUUGGGCAUUAAUGGCGGGGUGUGUAGCUAAGCCGUGGAAAGUGGCGGUCCUGGGGGGACCAAAAUCAAAAACUCAUAUUUGCCGAUAUAAGGGGUCUUGAUGACCAAGUGCGAGUGUCACGUUUUAUAUUAGAGGAAUGUACUAGUCAUCCCAUAGGAGUGCGGCUACACACACUAGGGCCCUUUCAACAGGGGGAGCUGAGCCCAUAUCACCUAUGGGUGGUUAGAAUGACCAAACUAAGCAACCCAGGUAAAGGUUUUAAGUGGAUGCUAAACUCGAUCCCUUUUCCCGACACUUAUAUAUGUAUGGUUGUAUGCAUAUGGAUGAUUUUACUUGGUUUUAUAACUGACAUUAUUUUAUUCUUACCCUGAGUUUCAUGCUAGCGGUCAUUUGCUAACCCCAUCUACUGGCGGC